UAUUUACAGACUGCCUUUGGAUCUGUUACCCAGGAGGAAGUGUAACUGAGAGAAGUGAAAUACAGAUCUAAGAGGAGACAGAGAGAUUCAGGGAGGAGCUAAGAUGUUCCUGAACUAUAGAAGAGAGAGGAACUUCCAUAUUCACCAGAGUUCAACACAGACCAUCAUCAUCACCUUCAUUCAACAUGCUCUCCCUGCAGAACUCAGCUUUUUCUCUGAUAUUGUCUGCAAUUUUAUCAGGCGUCAGCUGUGAAGAUCUGUCUCCAGUCAAAACAGAAGAGUUCAGUCCAGAAGGCAGCACUGUUACUCUGUCCUACAGAUACUCCAAACAAGCAGCUGGAACUGAUUAUUUCUUCUGGUAUCGACAAUAUCCAGGAGAACCACCAGAGUUCCUCCUGUCUAUCUCAGGGAUUAAUUUCACAAACAAAGUAGAAUCACUUAAAUCGGACACCAGGUUCUUCACUGACCUGUCUGAAGGAAAGAAACGAGUGGAUCUGCAGAUCUCCUCUGCUGCAGUGACAGACUCUGCUGUGUACUACUGUGCUCUGAGG
Trematomus bernacchii (emerald rockcod) is the source of this 551-nucleotide non-coding RNA. The record is from the annotation of a RefSeq genome assembly. Lineage: Eukaryota; Metazoa; Chordata; Actinopteri; Perciformes; Nototheniidae.